This 296-nucleotide long non-coding RNA is filed under the name Brachypodium distachyon (stiff brome). Its description in RNAcentral is "long non-coding RNA (BDIS_LNC005636)". The record is from RNAcentral. Lineage: Eukaryota; Viridiplantae; Streptophyta; Magnoliopsida; Poales; Poaceae.
GGCGCGCGCGCGGGGCGGUCGGGCUGGCGGGGCCGGCGCGCGUGCGGGCGGACUGGGCCGGUUCGGCCCAUUUUGGCCGCGCCGGUCCGGUUUUAUAUUUUUUUUUCUUUUAGCCUUUUCUUUUUCUGCUUUUCUCAUUUCUUUGAUAUCUUUUGAGUUUGAACUCCAAAUUGGUCCAAAUAAAUUUCAGAAAAUUUGUAAAAUCAUGUUCUACCAAGAUACAACUUUUGGAAGUAGUUUCUCUUCAAAAUAAAAUAUGUAAAAAUACAUUUGCCCUAUAAAUGCUUUAGGGCCAU